GACGAACGCUGGCGGCGUGCCUAAUACAUGCAAGUAGAACGCACAGUUUAUACCGUAGCUUGCUACACCAUAAACUGUGAGUUGCGAACGGGUGAGUAACGCGUAGGUAACCUGCCUGGUAGCGGGGGAUAACUAUUGGAAACGAUAGCUAAUACCGCAUAAUAUUGAUUAUUGCAUGAUAAUUGAUUGAAAGAUGCUAUUGCAUCACUACCAGAUGGACCUGCGUUGUAUUAGCUAGUAGGUGAGGUAACGGCUCACCUAGGCGACGAUACAUAGCCGACCUGAGAGGGGGAUAGGCCACACUGGGACUGAGACACGGCCCAGACUCCUACGGGAGGCAGCAGUAGGGAAUCUUCGGCAAUGGACGAAAGUCUGACCGAGCAACGCCGCGUGAGUGAAGAAGGUUUUCGGAUCGUAAAGCUCUGUUGUAAGAGAAGAACGGGUGUGAGAGUGGAAAGUUCACACUGUGACGGUAUCUUACCAGAAAGGGACGGCUAACUACGUG
RNAcentral lists this ribosomal RNA (505 nucleotides) under uncultured bacterium. RNAcentral describes it as "partial 16S ribosomal RNA". It matches the Rfam family "Bacterial small subunit ribosomal RNA", at positions 28 to 507 of the family's 1533-position model. The record is from RNAcentral.